Non-coding RNA from Pteropus alecto (black flying fox), 74 nucleotides. The record is from Rfam. NCBI's taxonomy places the organism in Eukaryota, Metazoa, Chordata, Mammalia, Chiroptera, Pteropodidae.
GGCUUCAUACUGUAGUGGUUAGCACGUCUGGUUUACAUGCAGAAAGUCCUGGGUCCGCGCCCCAGGUGGAGCCA